RNAcentral lists this unclassified non-coding RNA (338 nucleotides) under uncultured fungus. Its description in RNAcentral is "partial contains small subunit ribosomal RNA, internal transcribed spacer 1, and 5.8S ribosomal RNA". The stretch from base 1 to 73 matches the Rfam family "Eukaryotic small subunit ribosomal RNA", at positions 1759 to 1831 of the family's 1831-position model. The record is from RNAcentral. Lineage: Eukaryota; Fungi.
GCAAACUUGGUCAUUUAGAGGAAGUAAAAGUCGUAACAAGGUUUCCGUAGGUGAACCUGCGGAAGGAUCAUUAUUGAAUACACUUGGUUAGGUUGCUGCUGGCUUUUUGAAGCAUGUGCACACCUACACCAAUUUCAACCACCUGUGCACAUUGUGUAGAUCUUGCUUGAGGAAUAGAUAUUUAUUUAUCUGUUCUCACAUUCAAGUGUCUACAUUUAUAAUAUCACUCCAUAAGAAUGUAUCAGAAUGUUUUUAAUAAUAGGCCUUUUUGUGUCUAACAAUUAUAAACAACUUUCAACAACGGAUCUCUUGGCUCUCGCAUCGAUGAAGAACGCAGC